RNAcentral lists this ribosomal RNA (481 nucleotides) under uncultured Acidimicrobiaceae bacterium. Its description in RNAcentral is "bacterial SSU rRNA". It matches the Rfam family "Bacterial small subunit ribosomal RNA", at positions 400 to 896 of the family's 1533-position model. Lineage: Bacteria; Bacillati; Actinomycetota; Acidimicrobiia; Acidimicrobiales; Acidimicrobiaceae. The record is from RNAcentral.
CGUGAGGGAUGAAGGCUUUCGGGUUGUAAACCUCUUUCAGCAGGGACGAAAAUGACGGUACCUGCAGAAGAAGCUCCGGCCAACUACGUGCCAGCAGCCGCGGUAACACGUAGGGAGCAAGCGUUGUCCGGAUUUAUUGGGCGUAAAGAGCUCGUAGGCGGUUCGGUAAGUCGGGUGUGAAAACUUGAGGCUCAACCUCAAGAGGCCACUCGAUACUGCUGUGACUGGAGUCCGGUAGAGGAUGUGGAAUUCCUGGUGUAGCGGUGAAAUGCGCAGAUAUCAGGAGGAACACCGACAGCGAAGGCAGCACUCUGGGCCGGUACUGACGCUGAGGAGCGAAAGCAUGGGGAGCGAACAGGAUUAGAUACCCUGGUAGUCCAUGCCGUAAACGUUGGGCACUAGGUGUGGGGUCUAGCUAACAGAUUCCGUGCCGCAGCUAACGCAUUAAGUGCCCCGCCUGGGGAGUACGGCCGCAAGGCUA